RNAcentral lists this transfer RNA (74 nucleotides) under Eutypa lata UCREL1. Its description in RNAcentral is "tRNA-Tyr (GTA) (tRNA-Tyr-GTA-1-1)". It matches the Rfam family "tRNA". From Rfam's summary of the family: Transfer RNA (tRNA) molecules are approximately 80 nucleotides in length. Their secondary structure includes four short double-helical elements and three loops (D, anti-codon, and T loops). The record is from RNAcentral. Lineage: Eukaryota; Fungi; Ascomycota; Sordariomycetes; Xylariales; Diatrypaceae.
CCCUUGGUGGUGUAGUUGGUUAUCGCGUUCGGCUGUAAACCGAAAUGUCGCCGGUUCGAUUCCGGCCCGAGGGA